UGGGGAAUAUUGCACAAUGGGCGCAAGCCUGAUGCAGCCAUGCCGCGUGUGUGAAGAAGGCCUUCGGGUUGUAAAGCACUUUCAGCGGGGAGGAAGGCGUUAAGGUUAAUAACCUUGGCGAUUGACGUUACCCGCAGAAGAAACACCGGCUAACUCCGUGCCAGCAGCCGCGGUAAUACGGAGGGUGCAAGCGUUAAUCGGAAUUACUGGGCGUAAAGCGCACGCAGGCGGUUUGUUAAGUCAGAUGUGAAAUCCUCGGGCUCAACCUGGGAACUGCAUCUGAUACUGGCAAGCUUGAGUCUCGUAGAGGGGGGUAGAAUUCCAGGUGUAGCGGUGAAAUGCGUAGAGAUCUGGAGGAAUACCGGUGGCGAAGGCGGCCCCCUGGACGAAGACUGACGCUCAGGUGCGAAAGCGUGGGGAGCAAACAGG
RNAcentral lists this ribosomal RNA (429 nucleotides) under Chloroflexota bacterium. Its description in RNAcentral is "Chloroflexi bacterium partial 16S ribosomal RNA". It matches the Rfam family "Bacterial small subunit ribosomal RNA", at positions 355 to 776 of the family's 1533-position model. The record is from RNAcentral. Lineage: Bacteria; Bacillati; Chloroflexota.